AUUGAACGCUGGCGGCAUGCCUUACACAUGCAAGUCGAACGGCAGCACGGGUGCUUGCACCUGGUGGCGAGUGGCGAACGGGUGAGUAAUACAUCGGAACGUACCUUAUCGUGGGGGAUAACGCAGCGAAAGCUGUGCUAAUACCGCAUACGCCCUGAGGGGGAAAGCGGGGGAUCGAAAGACCUCGCGCGAUUAGAGCGGCCGAUGCCUGAUUAGCUUGUUUGUGGGGUAAAAGCCCACCAAGGCGACGAUCAGUAGCUGGUCUGAGAGGAGAUACGGCCACACUGCAACUGAGACCGGACACAGUCUCCUACGGGCGGCAGCAGGGGGGGAUUGUGGACAAGGGUUGCAACCCUUAUCCAGCAAUGCCGCGUGAGUGAAGAAGGCCUUCGGGUUGUAAAGCUCUUUUGUCAGCGAACAAACACCGGCUCUAACACAGUCCGUUAAUGACGGUACCUGAAGAAUAAGCACCGGCUAACUACGUGCCAGCAGCCGCCGUAA
Molecule: ribosomal RNA, 501 nt
Filed under: uncultured bacterium
Lineage: Bacteria
Description: partial 16S ribosomal RNA
Rfam family: Bacterial small subunit ribosomal RNA
Source: RNAcentral